UAGAGUUUGAUCCUGGCUCAGGAUGAACGUUGGCUGUGUGCCUAAGGUAUGCAAGUCGAACGAUCCUACUCUGAUUUUCAAAGACUUCGGUCAAUGAUUUUCUAUUUAGGAUAGUGGCAAACGGGUGAGUAAUACGUAGAUAACUUGCCUUGAAGUCGGAAAUAGCUCGUCGAAAGACGGGGUAAUAUCCGAUAGUCUCUAUUCACUUCGUGUGUUUUAGAGUAAAGUUUUUCGCUUCAAGAGAGGUCUGCGUCCUAUCAGCUAGUUGGUGAGGUAAUGGCUCACAAGGCUAAGACGGGACUGGGUGAACCG
RNAcentral lists this ribosomal RNA (312 nucleotides) under uncultured bacterium. RNAcentral describes it as "bacterial SSU rRNA". It matches the Rfam family "Bacterial small subunit ribosomal RNA", at positions 1 to 294 of the family's 1533-position model. The record is from RNAcentral.